Molecule: RNA transcript, 543 nt
Organism: Agelaius phoeniceus (red-winged blackbird)
Lineage: Eukaryota; Metazoa; Chordata; Aves; Passeriformes; Icteridae
Gene name: GTPase-activating Rap/Ran-GAP domain-like protein 3
Source: RefSeq, a predicted model, not a curated record
UGCUAUACUAUCAAAGUUUAAAGGUAAAUUAUUGUGUAGUAGGAGAUGGUAUAAAAUGUAUGUUCUAACGUGUAGGAUGUAUGCAAAGAUUAGAGGAAACAAAUUUUUAUGUCUUCUGUUUGACUGUUUACCAAAUAAUAUUUGGUUUUAUUUUCCUGGGAUCGGUGAAUUUUAAAUUUGGAGUCCUCUAUGCUAAGGAUGGUCAGCUUACAGGUGAUGAAAUGUUCAGUCAUGGGCAGGGAAGGACUCUCGUAUCCCGGUCGUCAGACUCAGCGCUGCCCGAGAAGAUACAGAGACUGUAAAAAUCAUAAGAAGCAACUAGGACUGCAGAGGAAACAAACUGGAGAGAACAAAAGGUGAUAUUGUUCUCCUUAGCCUGGAUUAGAAACAUCCACUGCGCUUUGAUGCCGGUGGCUGCCAGGGGCUCGUUAGGUCUCUUGAGGCAGGUGUAGGUGUUCACUUGUAGGUUCUAUUUUUUGGCAAAGGACCACGAGAGAAGUUUAUUUAUAGAUCCAAAUAAACAUUCAUCUUAUCUGAACAUAA